CUGGGUACUCCACGCCGGCUCCCCCGGGGCGCCUGGGCUGGGCCGCCCCGCCAGUCGGAUCAGACUCAGGAGCGCCCGGAGGCUCCAGGGCACGCUUCUGCACGAGAGCUCCGCACCUGCGCGGUCUGGGGGUGGACCCGACCCCCUCACCCCUGGGACCCCUGAGGGCCCUGCUGCCUGGGCAGCCCCUCUCCCCUGCAGGCCCUCGCGGGGGGCGGGGGGGGGCUGGCUCGCCUCUGCCGACCCCUCGCCCGUUCGGCACCCUCUCCCCUGUGGCCCCCUAUCUUCUGCGGCCCCCUCUCCCCGGCAGCCCCCUCAUUCUUCUGCGGUCCCUCUGCGGCACGCACGCCCUCCNCAGCAGGCAGAGGCGCGGGUGGGACGCGCGUCGGGGGGCAGCUUCCUCGUGCGGGCGGACGGAGGAGGUUGCAGGUAUCGGCCGCACCGCGGACCUUGACCUGCGGCCUGGGAGGAGGCGGGCGAGAUUCCCUGGCCGGGCUCUGACCACCUGACCACCUUUCUGGGCGCUGGAGGCCGGGCCCCCGCGCCAGGACUCUACCUCUGCCCAGGUGCCCCCCAGGCUCUGGCUUCUCCAGCACUCGGGGUGGAGGGGAGGGGCUGCAACUCCGGACAGGCGGGAGGACGCAGGACACAGCUGCCGGCGCUGCUCUGGGCUCCAGGCCUCCCCCGACCGACCGGCCAGACGGCGGUACCAGCCUCAAACGCAUCCCUUCCCCUCCCAGCCUCCGGAGACGCUCUGGGGCCUGUCAGGAAUAGGGAGGGAAGGACGGCAGUUAUCAGGUCAAGGACCCAAGGUAUCCUCCCCCCACCCGGGACUGGGCUGGGUGGAGACAGCCUCUCACAUUCCUGAGGGAAGGGUUUGCAGCCUCCCUGGGUUGGAAUUCCUGCUCUCCCUCCUACCAUGUGAUCCUGGGCAAGUGGCUUGACCACUUGGUGUCCUGGUCCCCUGGUAAGCCAGGUAAGAAGAUUCGGGGGAAGGUGCCAGCCCACCGUUGUGCCUCCCCACUCCUGCCUGUACCCC
This 1039-nucleotide long non-coding RNA is filed under the name Ailuropoda melanoleuca (giant panda). RNAcentral describes it as "lncRNA (ENSAMEG00000023683.1)". Lineage: Eukaryota; Metazoa; Chordata; Mammalia; Carnivora; Ursidae. The record is from RNAcentral.